AGAUGCACUUGUGUCUCAGGAUCACAGCCCUGAGCUCUUGUAGGUACGAGUCUGUCUCCCUCUCCCCCUUUCUCUCGCACUCACGGUCCGACCAGGAGCUUUGCUCUCAGCCACUGCUCUGAAGACAACUGUCCUUUUGGAAGAGCCACGAUCGCAAUGACUCUGGAUUUCAGCAGCUGAAAUCACAACAGGUACAAGAAGGACCAAGGAGUACUUGGACUUUUAUAGAUGCCAUUGAACAACACCAAACCCACAGCCUGGGGAGGAAGACAAAGGAGAACUGCAAAUGUCCAGCACCUCCAGGGUCUGUAUCUUGUUCAACUCCAGCCUGCUGACACACUGAUGAACAGCAUCUGCCAAUUCAAAGCAGCUCCGACCAGACUGACUUGAUGCAAUCUGGCAACCUUAAUCACCUUAAGCUGUCCUCUGGAAUACCUGUUCUGCAUCUCAAAGUGCCUUUUCCACACAAGUAAAAAUGGUUGGUGUAACUUUGUAGAAAUUCACUGGUUUGUAACACUGGGCAUAAUGUUCUACAUCUGGAUAGUCUGGACAAAUACACAAAACCCCCUUUUAUUCUCCCAGGUUAACGUUUCCAGGAAGAAAGGGGGGCAUGAUUUAGAGGAAGAGUUGAGGCCUGAACAUAUGGUUGCUGUAACCUGUGCAACAUAAGCUAAGAGAAGGAAAAGGUAGCUCAUCCAAGUCCUAUUCAGGAAUACAUUUAAGACACACCCAUAGACGCUGGAUAUACAACCAAAGUAUCACACACAUAACAGGCUUAAAGAAAAAAGCAGAAAUAGAAGGCCUUUUGCUAAUUUUCUAGCUAGCAGCAAGUGUGACGUCUCCCUUUGGAAAGGGAGUUGGAGGCCAGUGGCAACAGGAGAACAAAUUAGCUGUAUUGGCUUGGAAAGUUUAUGAUUAGCUUGGGAGGUCUGAAGCCUGCUGAUCACUACAAAAAUAACAUUUCACUUUGAUGCAUGUCUAUCGACUCUCACUAUAUUAAAAUGUUUUCAUUUCUAAAUGUGGGUUUCAGCUGCUGUGUCUGGCCACCAUGUGACAUGAAAGUGAGGAUCUUUAUGUAACACAUUUUUUUUCUGAUCAGUAUUUCAUAUAAGAGAAGUUAGCAAAUGCUGAAUAUUCUGUGUUCUUGUGUGCCUGCAGUGAUUUAAGAGUUCAAACUAAGACAAAAUAGUCAUUCCUGAAAACACGUACUGGAAUAAAAUGCACAGGUUCACCAUUAGAACUAAAAUAUCUUAUGGCAAAUUGAGUGGACAAUGCUGAUAUUUUCAAAAUAAAGCCAGAGAACUGCAUAAAUCAAGAUCAAAACUCCACAGCACAAGCAUAUGAACUACCAGGACAUUGACCAUAUAUCCUCUAGCAAACAUUAGAAAGAAUUCAUUUGUGUGUUGGCAGAAGUACAGCACCUUAAGCGCUUGUGCAAUAAAAACGUCGGACAUGACAAUCAGACGGUAUGAAACUAUUCCUCACAGGGGCUUUAAUACUUGUUAUGAACUGCUGUAUUAGAGAAGUUCAGUCUUUCUUUGCAGCUACCUUUGUAUUUUUUUCAGCCAGAGGCAAAUAACUCUUUACAAAUGUGCCUCUUCCACCUCUGACUUGAGGAUCUGGGAUUGGUUUCCCUAAAUGAGGCUUGUCUUAAAUUAGCU
Long non-coding RNA from Onychostruthus taczanowskii (white-rumped snowfinch), 1661 nucleotides. RefSeq lists it as uncharacterized. The transcript is spliced from 3 exons. The record is from RefSeq and is a predicted model, not a curated record. NCBI's taxonomy places the organism in Eukaryota, Metazoa, Chordata, Aves, Passeriformes, Passeridae.